AUUGAACGUUGGCGGCAGGCCUAAUACAUGCAAGUCGAACGGCAGCACAGAGAGCUUGCUCUUGGGUGGCGAGUGGCGGACGGGUGAGUAACGCGUAGGAAUCUACCCAGUAGCGGGGGAUAGCCCGGGGAAACUCGGAUUAAUACCGCAUACGCCCCACGGGGGAAAGGCCGGGAUCUUCGGACCGGUCACUAUUGGAGGAGCCUGCGUUGGAUUAGCUUGUUGGUGGGGUAAAGGCCUACCAAGGCUACGAUCCAUAGCUGGUCUGAGAGGACGAUCAGCCACACUGGAACUGAGACACGGUCCAGACUCCUACGGGAGGCAGCAGUAGGGAAUAUUGUGCAAUGGGCGAAAGCCUGACACAGCCAUGCCGCGUGUGUGAAGAAGGCCCUAGGGUUGUAAAGCACUUUCAGUAGGAGGAA
Molecule: ribosomal RNA, 422 nt
Filed under: uncultured bacterium
Lineage: Bacteria
Description: bacterial SSU rRNA
Rfam family: Bacterial small subunit ribosomal RNA
Source: RNAcentral